UUGGACUUCAGUUUGUAGAACUGCAAGCUCAAGAAUGCACGGAAAGCAAGGAAAAUACACACUGAAUAUUGAACACUCUGGAAACUCGGCAGUUUGAGAUUCUAUCCAUGCCAGAAAAUUCUGGAAAAGUGGCCUGUCAGCCACGUGUUCAAAUAACCAAGAGGCUCACAGCGCCACAUACUGGCAUGAACAAUCAAGUGAUGUCCCUUCCAUCUUAACCAGGGUGAGUGUGAACCCAGGAGUCCCUGCAGAGUCAGGAAUGCCACGCACAGGUGAAAGAAAAUUGCUGCCUUAAGCUGACUCUGUGGAACAUCUUUCUGGUUUGUUUCUUAGCCUGUCUGAUAA
This is a long non-coding RNA of Cervus elaphus (red deer), 345 nucleotides long. RefSeq lists it as uncharacterized. The transcript has 4 exons. NCBI's taxonomy places the organism in Eukaryota, Metazoa, Chordata, Mammalia, Artiodactyla, Cervidae. The record is from RefSeq and is a predicted model, not a curated record.